AGAACGAACGCUGGCGGCAGGCUUAACACAUGCAAGUCGAACGGGUGUAGCAAUACAUCAGUGGCAGACGGGUGAGUAACACGUGGGAACCUUCCUAGGGGUACGGAACAACUCAGGGAAACUUGAGCUAAUACCGUAUACGUCCGUAAGGAGAAAGAUUCAUCGCCCCUAGACGGGCCCGCGUCGGAUUAGGUAGUUGGUGGGGUAACGGCCUACCAAGCCUACGAUUUUCCGAGCUGAUCUGAGAGGAUGAUCAGCCACACUGGGACUGAGACACGGCCCAGACUCCUACGGGAGGCAGCAGUGGGGAAUCUUGGACAAUGGGCGCAAGCCUGAUCCAGCCAUGCCGCGUGAGUGAAGAAGGCCUUAGGGUUGUAAAGCUCUUUUACCAGGGACGAUAAUGACGGUACCUGGAGAAUAAGCCCGGCAAACUUCGUGCUAGCAGCCGC
RNAcentral lists this ribosomal RNA (449 nucleotides) under uncultured bacterium. Its description in RNAcentral is "SSU rRNA". It matches the Rfam family "Bacterial small subunit ribosomal RNA", at positions 26 to 518 of the family's 1533-position model. The record is from RNAcentral.